AGAGUUUGAUCAUGGCUCAGAGCGAACGCUGGCGGCGUACUUAACACAUGCAAGUCGAACGGGGAUCAUCGGUGUAGCAAUACAUUGCUGGUCCUAGUGGCGCACGGGUGAGUAACACGUGGGUAACCUGCCCUUGAGUUCGGGAUACCCCCUCGAAAGGGGGGCUAAUACCGGAUACGUUCCUCGGAUCGACAGGUCUGGGGAGGAAAGGUGGCGCAAGCUGCCGCUCUUGGAGGGGCUCGCGGCCUAUCAGCUAGUUGGCGGGGUAACGGCCCACCAAGGCUAUGACGGGUAGCUGGUCUGAGAGGACGACCAGUCACACGGGGACUGAGACACGGCCCCGACUCCUACGGGAGGCAGCAGUGGGGAAUUUUCCGCAAUGGGCGAAAGCCUGACGGAGUGACGCCGCGUGUGGGACGAAGGCCUUCGGGUCGUAAACCACUGUCAGUGGGAAAGAAGGGUGUCGGCGCUAAUACCGCCGGCACUUGACGGUACCUGCAGAGGAAGCCCCGGCCAACUCUGUGCCAGCAGCCGCGGUAAGACAGAGGGGGCAAGCGUUGCUCGGAAUUACUGGGCGUAAAGGGCGCGUAGGCGGGAUGGCAAGUCGGUCGUGAAAUCCUUCGGCUCAACCGAAGAACGUCGAUCGAUACUGCUGUUCUUGAGGAUUGCAGAGGAGACUGGAAUUCCCGGUGUAGCGGUGAAAUGUGUAGAGAUCGGGAGGAACACCGGUGGCGAAGGCGGGUCUCUGGGCAAUUCCUGACGCUGAGGCGCGAAAGCGUGGGGAGCAAACGGGAUUAGAUACCCCGGUAGUCCACGCUGUAAACGAUGACGACUAGGUGUGGGGGGGUUCAGUCCCUUCCGUGCCGCAGCUAACGCAUUAAGUCGUCCGCCUGGGGAGUACGGCCGCAAGGUUGAAACUCAAAGGAAUUGACGGGGGCCCGCACAAGCGGUGGGAGCAUGUGGUUCAAUUCGAUGC
RNAcentral lists this ribosomal RNA (976 nucleotides) under uncultured bacterium. RNAcentral's name for it is "bacterial SSU rRNA". It matches the Rfam family "Bacterial small subunit ribosomal RNA", at positions 8 to 957 of the family's 1533-position model. The record is from RNAcentral.